GCAGGGUUAGUUUAAUGGUAGAAUGGACGCUUCCCAAGCCUCAGACGCGGGUUCGAUUCCCGUACCCUGCUCCA
This 74-nucleotide transfer RNA is filed under the name Synergistaceae bacterium. RNAcentral's name for it is "tRNA-Gly". It matches the Rfam family "tRNA". Rfam says of the family: Transfer RNA (tRNA) molecules are approximately 80 nucleotides in length. Their secondary structure includes four short double-helical elements and three loops (D, anti-codon, and T loops). Further hydrogen bonds mediate the characteristic L-shaped molecular structure. tRNAs have two regions of fundamental functional importance: the anti-codon, which is responsible for specific mRNA codon recognition, and the 3' end, to which the tRNAs corresponding amino acid is attached (by aminoacyl-tRNA synthetases). tRNAs cope with the degeneracy of the genetic code in two manners: having more than one tRNA (with a specific anti-codon) for a particular amino acid; and 'wobble' base-pairing, i.e. permitting non-standard base-pairing at the 3rd anti-codon position. Lineage: Bacteria; Thermotogati; Synergistota; Synergistia; Synergistales; Synergistaceae. The record is from RNAcentral.